This is a long non-coding RNA of Oncorhynchus tshawytscha (Chinook salmon), 1057 nucleotides long. The record is from Ensembl. Lineage: Eukaryota; Metazoa; Chordata; Actinopteri; Salmoniformes; Salmonidae.
AUAGUAAUGUGUGGAUGUCGUGGAACAACCUACCUGGAUGAAUAAAUAUAGUAAUUUGUGGAUGUCGUGGAACAACCUACCUGGAGGAAUAAAUAUAGUAAUUUGUGGAUGUUGUGAAACAGGAAAUAGUCAUGCCCAGAUAGAUAAAAAUGCUCUUGUAUGUUGAUAUUGUUCGCUGGUACUCAGUGUCAGUGUAAUAUCCAUUUUUUAUUUGAAAAAUAACUUCCAUAAAUCUCUGUACUCAACCAUACUUCACCAAGACAUAGCCUUGGCAUAAACACAUUGCACCAAAACAAAAGAAAGAAAAGGCAUUCAAAAGGGUAAAUAACAUGUCUUUGUCAUCAUGUGAGACAUUAUUCCUAUUCCAAAAUAUUGUCAUCUAUUUGUGUUUGCUUGUUUUAUUCAAAUUUCUAAUAUGUACAAUGUAAAUCAAAAACGAAAGUAUAUAGCUUGUUAUAGCGACAAGAUAUUGGAUGGACAUUAGAAUGUAUUGGUUUAACAUGGAAAAGGAAUAACGUCUCAGUUUAUUUUCAUUCAGACAUAACUGUAAGAUUCAUAUACCUCCCAUACACAAGAAGCAUUUACAAUUACUAAAAAUAAAAAAUAAACUGGUCUUGGCUUAUAAAUAAACUAAUAAAAAUAUAUGAAAUUAAUUAUAUUUUCACCAAAAAAAAAAAAAAAAUCAUAUUGCAUGGCAAUAUCCCAUGUUGUUUGACCUUGUGUUUUGCUCAUCCUCACAAACAGUGCCUGAACUACACAGCAAUAUACAGUACAUAAGUUGUAUGUUUGCCACUUCUUGCUUGGAUAUAAAUAUCCUUCUUGCUGUACCAAUACAGAUUAUUUUUGCAUGUUAGUUAACAAUACUAAAAUAAAACACACUCGCAACCAUAACUUUUUUUGUCAACCUCCAAUGAAUAUAAAAUAUUUUUCCUUGUCAUUCUUUUUGAAAAAGUGGAAAUAAAAUAUGAUCUAGGGGUUAGUGGAAUGUUUUGUUAAAACGUUUUAAUAGUUUGGCCAUGAAAGUAACUAAUGAAUUUUCUGUAGAAUUCAAUUGAAG